AAGGGCUUCGGCUGUAAACCCCCUGUCAGCCGCGAACAAUGCUCACGACCUAAUACGUCGUGAGUUGAUAGUAGUGGCAGAGGAAGGGACGGCUAACUCUGUGCCAGCAGCCGCGGUAAUACAGAGGUCCCAAGCGUUGUUCGGAUUUACUGGGCGUAAAGGGUGCGUAGGUGGUCGGGUAAGUCUCAUGUGAAAUCUCCAAGCUCAACUUGGAAAUGGCAUGGGAUACUAUUCGGCUAGAGGAUUGGAGGGGGGACUGGAAUUCCCGGUGUAGCAGUGAAAUGCGUAGAUAUCGGGAGGAACACCAGUGGCGAAGGCGAGUCCCUGGACAAUUCCUGACGCUGAGGCACGAAAGCCGGGGGAGCAAACAGGAUUAGAUACCCUGGUAGUCCCGGCUGUAAACGGUGCUCACUUGCUGUAGACGGAAUCGACCCCGUCUGUGGCGAAGCUAACGCGUUAAGUGAGCCGCCUGGGGAGUACGGUCGCAAGAUUA
This 493-nucleotide ribosomal RNA is filed under the name uncultured Verrucomicrobiota bacterium. Its description in RNAcentral is "bacterial SSU rRNA". It matches the Rfam family "Bacterial small subunit ribosomal RNA", at positions 411 to 896 of the family's 1533-position model. The record is from RNAcentral. Lineage: Bacteria; Pseudomonadati; Verrucomicrobiota.